UACAGAGGCCCCAAGCAUUAUCCGGAAUCACUGGGCGUAAAGGGUGUCUAGGCGGUUGUAUUAGUCGUUUGUUAAAUCCGAGGGCUCAACCUUCGGCUCGCAAGCGAAACGGUACAACUAGAAGACGUAAGAGGUACAUGGAACUCAUGGAGUAGGGGUGAAAUCCGUUGAUAUCAUGGGGAACACCAAAAGCGAAGGCAGUGUACUGGUACGUUCUUGACGCUCAAACACGAAAGCCAGGGUAGCGAACGGG
Molecule: ribosomal RNA, 253 nt
Filed under: uncultured bacterium
Lineage: Bacteria
Description: partial 16S ribosomal RNA
Rfam family: Bacterial small subunit ribosomal RNA
Source: RNAcentral